CUCCAUUGUCUCGUCCUCACCCACAUCCCUUUCGCCGUCCUCCGCCGUCUCCCCUUCGCCUUCUUUGCCCUUCUCCUACUGUCGCCCACCUCGGUUUUCUCCUACUGUCGUCGAAAUCGAGGGCGGCGAGGGUGCAGGAGGAGAAGGGGAGCAGGUGGAGAAGGAAAUGGAGAGAAAUCGCGGCCGAACGAAAGGGUGGCUGAGGAAGAUAGGGAAGAAGACGACAAUGGCGAGGGGCAAAAUGGUCAUUUUACACACCGUAACCCCGCUGUGAACAUUUUUUAUUUUACAGGGGGGCAAAGUGUAGGUUUUUAAAUGUCAGGGGGGCAAAGUGUAGGUUUUUAAAUGUCAGGGAAAAAAGUAAAAAAACAGGUUAUUACAGGAGGGUUUUCUGUAAUUUAGCCUUUUUUUUUUCACAUAUU
Molecule: long non-coding RNA, 422 nt
Filed under: Ananas comosus (pineapple)
Lineage: Eukaryota; Viridiplantae; Streptophyta; Magnoliopsida; Poales; Bromeliaceae
Description: long non-coding RNA (ACOM_LNC040019)
Source: RNAcentral